GUGGAGUCUGGGCCACACAGCAGGAGAGAGAAUGGGGCACAAGUCGAGUUUUACAAAGUCAGCAAAAGCUCUGAAUUCAAGCUCAGAUUCACACCCUUAUCCCGGCAAGAUUCAGUCAGUGAGUGAAACACGUGAGGAUCAGCUGUGUUCCUCUCACCCCGUAAGGAAUUCUAGGGGAAUGCGGCCUCACCACUUAAAGCCAGUUCCCCUGAAAUUUAACCCCUUCGUGAGGGCUUUGCUACCUGUCCAACUAUUCUUUUUGUCACCACCUUAGCACUCCAAGGAUUUAAAAAUUGACAUCUAGGGUAAAGCAUCUGAUUUAUUGCUUUUCUAAUAAGUAUAUAUUAAAUAUACACCAUUUAAAGAAUGAUGGAAUUGAGAGUGCCUUUGGGUUGUAGAAAGUGGGAGGAGAGUUUAAAAGAGCAAUCUUGAGCCAGAAGUCAGAAGAAUUUUAUUUUUAUCAAUCUAAACUCUUUUCACACUAUGGAAAAUGCAAAAGGCAAGGAGUGGACCUCCACGGAGAAGUCAGGGGAAGCAGACAUGACUCAAAUUUGAGUGGUAUCUGUAGACACUAGAGAGGAAGAGCGGGCUUCGAGUGAGCCAAGCACAUCCACUUUAUCAAGAACCUCAGCAAAGGGAACUGAAGGACAAAGGUCUAUGAAGGAUGACAACGCAUCCCGUCCACAGGAGAACGCUCAAUGCAACAACAGCCUAAAACCUUGGAAGAAGGUAACCAUUCCUCCAUUACCUUCCAAAGUACCACCUGUCAAGCUGCUUCACGGAGACAUUGUGGGGGCCUGGUGCCAUCAUUUAAAGCUGAGCACUAGAGGCUAGAAACUAGAAGCAUAUAAGUGACUCUGUGAAUAUGCUUACCCAAAUCAAAAGAACAUUCCUGUCACAGCCAAGGAGAAAAAGUUACAGGCACGGUCAUAGAGAAAAUCAAAGGUGGACAAGGGAGAAAUGUCUCUGGAAAGGUCUAAGAAAAAGAUGUCAUCUGAGGGGACUGACCUCCAGAAGUGGCUCCUUCCCCUGAGGGACAGGGUGCCUGCACUGGAAGAGUCUACCGUCUACCACUCUCCUUGCAAGAGUUAAUACUGAGACAACGACUUCCACCUGGAGGCUGUGUUGGCCCCCUGGACCAGAACUGCAGCCAGGGUCUGGAAGACGGAGGCAGUGGAAUGGCCACAAGAGAUUAAUGAUGUCGGGUGCUGCAUCGUCCCCAGGAGAAGUCUUCCUGUGGACAUUUGGUUGGGUUCCCCUGCAGUUUCAUGCUGAUCAAGCCUGGGUUCCUGAAAAACAAGGGAAAGUGAGUGCGUGCUUCUUGCUCCCUGCCUGCCAUUUGCCAAUGUGCUGUGCUCCAGAUGUGUUCAGAGGAACAACGUGUUGAUGAAGAGCCUCCAAUGAGAUUAAAAUACGAGGGGAAGGAGCAUCUCUCUGGUUCUAACAAGAUGAAAAAGUCAUUCACGCUGCCAAGCGUCUGCCCUUCUGAAAUAGAAAUGCCCUCCACAGCUUCUAAGUGGGAACAUCUUCAGUGGAGCAUCGUGAAGAAGUUGAAUGAAGAAACAGCAAUGGUUUGCUUCCAUGCUGGAGUUCCCUCUUCAGAAUGCUGCCUGCCUUAGAGCUGCUCCCUUCUAAUUUAAGUGUCUGACUUCGAACUGUUGAGUAUUUUAAGCCACAGAGAAAGCUGUUGUUCUCUCUCCCUCCCUCCCCAAAACACGAUUCUUAAAAUACAAAACGACAUUUUCCAAGUUUUCUUAGUAACCUGAGACUGUUUGUUUAUGGUUUAACUCUGGGAUAAAAAUACAGGGCACUUUGCCAGUGUUAUUAUUUGUCUCGUAUAUUUCUGCUGCUCAAAAAUGUUUAAGGC
Molecule: long non-coding RNA, 1867 nt
Filed under: Equus caballus (horse)
Lineage: Eukaryota; Metazoa; Chordata; Mammalia; Perissodactyla; Equidae
Description: lncRNA (ENSECAG00000047431.1)
Source: RNAcentral